AGACUGUGUGAGGGGAGGAGGUGUGUAGUUAGACUGUGUGAUGGGGAGGAGGUGUGUAGUUUGACUGUGAGGGGAGGAAGUGUGUAGUUUGACUGUGUGAGGGGAGGAGGUGUAGUUAGACUGUGUGAGGGUAGGAGGUGUGUAGUUAGACUGUGUGAUGGGGAGGAGGUGUGUAGUUUGACUGUGAGGGGAGGAGGUGUGUAGUUUGACUGUGUGAGGGGAGGAGGUGUAGUUAGACUGUGUGAGGGGAGGAGGUGUGUAGUUCGACU
Molecule: long non-coding RNA, 269 nt
Organism: Oncorhynchus tshawytscha (Chinook salmon)
Lineage: Eukaryota; Metazoa; Chordata; Actinopteri; Salmoniformes; Salmonidae
Source: Ensembl